UUUGAAAAAUAUUAAAAAUAUGGAAGCAAUUGUAAAAUCACUUUCACCUGUGCAAUAUCCUUUUUCAUGACUGUCUCCAAAUUACAUAGCUAGGGUUACAGAUUUUCACAAACAGUUUCACUUGUGAUGGUUAUGUGGCUGUAAUUCCGGGCUGCUAUUUAUUUCAAUCUGUUGAAAGGGUAUGGGGCUAUCUUUGCCUUCUCUUCCUCCUGUUGCUUAAACCAUCCAAGAAAACGUCAACAAAUUAAGUAAGAGGAGGAGAAAACAGGAGGUAGAGAUCGUAUUCAAAGGACUGAAAGCCACCACAUCAGAAAUAUUAAGUCGGUAAUACAUAGGGUUACCUCCCCACUCCAUGUCCUCCAUCUGUGCAAUGGGCUAACGUCCCUGGGCUGAAGAGGUCUGAGGAUGAAGAAAGAAGUCCUCAGCUGCUGCAGAGAUGCUAAGAAAACAGCCAGCUGUCUCCUGACUUAGAAUAUUUGAAAGCUUUCUGGCCUCUCCGAGGAAGCCGAUCCAAAUCCACCCAGUGUGUCAAUUUGCUUUUUAGGAGCGACGGGAUAAGCACAUAAAUCUGGGCAGUGCUUACAUUUUUAGUUUAUUGGCUUUAUGAGGGUUGUUUGGGGCUCUCUCUGCGGUAAACUGCAGAAGAGUGGCGGGCGGGGGACAAGGUGGGGAGGAAAGGAGUCGGCGAAGGAGAGGAGAGUAAGAGAGAGCAGCAGGGGGGUGGAAACCCCGGGAAGGAAAGGAAAUGCAGAAGGCGGAGAACUCAGCCAGACGUGGGAUGGGUAGAGGUAGGGCGGGACCCAGGCUGCGCCCGGAUCGGGAGGGCCCGGGCUGGGCUCUGUUUGAGGGUGCCACCGAGCCCAGGGCCGCGCGCUUUGCAGCCGAGCUGAUCCCUUCGCCUGGCUGCUGGCCGCUUGCCGCCCCCGCCCCCUGCCUCCAUCCCGUGCGGCCGCCUCGGGGAGUGUCCCAGCAGUGUCCACAUAAAAUAUUUUCUUCUGUAGAACCCUUGCAAUAAAAUCGGAUUUUUCUAUUUGGAUGGUUCUACGUCAAAGAAGGUCAGCAGCGGCGCUGGUUUGCUAAUGAUUAACCGAGGACUUUUCCUACAAUAAAGCAGUCAAUGCGGUGCCCACGAGCCAUUGAUUUCCAUGCGUGUGUCGUCAGCGUGUUGUUCACUUUUUCCUAAGAUUAUGACAAUCAUCAUCAUCAUCAUAAUAACCGGGACACAAACAGCUCUGGAGAAGUCGUUUGUAACUACAUCUUCGAGGAGGUGAGAAACACACACUACCCUGUGGACCUCUGUUUUAUUUUUGCCGGAGGAGCGCAGAAUUGCCGGGUUUUUAAAAAAAUGAUCUAUUUACAGACUUGCUAAUGCCUCCCCAGAAAUCCUGUUUAUCGGCCCAAUAGUUGUGACAGGGUUAGAAAACCAGUUUAAACUGUUAAUCGGCCACAAAAAGAGUCCCAGAUUGAAGCUUUUCACUUAUCUUUGAAACACUAUCCUCGCCCUACAUUGGGAUGAAAUUAGCGACAAAAUCAUUACCUUGACUUCUCGCAAUAAAGAUAGCCUUAAAGAGAGGCUAUUGAUGGUUUCAAAUUACAUAACGGUGGUUUAUAAGGUCUUCCUCUGGGCUCACAGAAAGCAAUUUUAAAGUGAAUUCUUCAAAGAACAAACUGCAACUAGCAUUCAAACACCGACACGCAUCUGCCUUAAGUUUUAUUUAUGGCAAAGUGGCUAUUAGAAAAAAGGAGAAAAACAAAAACAAAAAUCCCAGCAAAAGCAGGCCGUGCCCAAAGAGAAUCACGUCCGGCUUAUAUUUCGCCAAGCUCCCUGGGCUCACGCUUGGCCCCGGAGCCCGGAGGGCUCGACGUCUCCCUGGGGGUGGGGGAGACAGGCGGUGGGGUUCAUAGCCCUGCAGGUGGGAAAAGCCCCGUGCGUGUCAUCGGGUCCCAUCUGCCCGCUGCUUCUGCGGAUUUUAAACCCGGACACAGCCUCCUCGAGGCUAGAAGGAAAGGCAUUUCCCAAAGAGCACCGAUUCCGGGCGUGGGCCUGGGGCUAGGUGCUGGCGCCACAGGCCAGCCCUCCCACCCCGGCCCUCUGGGAUGGCUCCAACCUGGCCAGCGAUCGGCCUCCGCCUUACAGCAGGCCUUUCCUGGG
Molecule: long non-coding RNA, 2152 nt
Organism: Equus caballus (horse)
Lineage: Eukaryota; Metazoa; Chordata; Mammalia; Perissodactyla; Equidae
Source: Ensembl